This is a long non-coding RNA of Oncorhynchus tshawytscha (Chinook salmon), 340 nucleotides long. NCBI's taxonomy places the organism in Eukaryota, Metazoa, Chordata, Actinopteri, Salmoniformes, Salmonidae. The record is from Ensembl.
ACUUCCCUCCAUGUGGGGACAUAGAGGUUGCCUCUGUCCAGGGUUGGAUACGCCAUGCUAGGAGAUACUUCCCUCCAUGUGGGGACAUAGAGGUUGCCUCUGUCCAAGGUUGGAUACACCAUGCUAGGAGAUACUUCCCUCCAUGUGGGGACAUAGAGGUUGCCUCUGUCCAAGGUUGGAUACGCCAUGCUAGGAGAUACUUCCCUCCAUGUGGGGACAUAGAGGUUGCCUCUGUCCAAGGUUGGAUACGCCAUGCUAGGAGAUACUUCCCUCCAUGUGGGGACAUAGAGGUUGCCUCUGUCCAAGGUUGGAUACGCCAUGCUAGGAGAUACUUCCCUCC